AUUGAACGCUGGCGGCAUGCUUUACACAUGCAAGUCGAACGGCAGCGCGGGCUUCGGCCUGGCGGCGAGUGGCGAACGGGUGAGUAAUGCAUCGGAACGUGCCCAGUAGUGGGGGAUAGCCCGGCGAAAGCCGGAUUAAUACCGCAUACGACCUGAGGGUGAAAGCGGGGGACCGAAAGGCCUCGCGCUAUUGGAGCGGCCGAUGUCGGAUUAGCUAGUUGGUGAGGUAAAGGCUUACCAAGGCGACGAUCCGUAGCUGGUCUGAGAGGACGACCAGCCACACUGGGACUGAGACACGGCCCAGACUCCUACGGGAGGCAGCAGUGGGGAAUUUUGGACAAAGGGGGCAACCCUGAUCCAGCCAUGCCGCGUGCGGGAAGAAGGCCUUCGGGUUGUAAACCGCUUUUGUUCGGGAAGAAAUCCUCUGGGCUAAUACCCCGGGGGGAUGACGGCACCGGAAGAAUAAGCACCGGCUAACUACGUG
Molecule: ribosomal RNA, 484 nt
Filed under: uncultured bacterium
Lineage: Bacteria
Description: partial 16S ribosomal RNA
Rfam family: Bacterial small subunit ribosomal RNA
Source: RNAcentral